Molecule: ribosomal RNA, 549 nt
Filed under: uncultured bacterium
Lineage: Bacteria
Description: bacterial SSU rRNA
Rfam family: Bacterial small subunit ribosomal RNA
Source: RNAcentral
UGGGGAAUAUUGCACAAUGGGCGCAAGCCUGAUGCAGCCAUGCCGCGUGUAUGAAGAAGGCCUUCGGGUUGUAAAGUACUUUCAGCGGGGAGGAAGGUGUUGUGGUUAAUAACCGCAGCAAUUGACGUUACCCGCAGAAGAAGCACCGGCUAACUCCGUGCCAGCAGCCGCGGUAAUACGGAGGGUGCAGGCGUUAAUCGGAAUUACUGGGCGUAAAGCGCACGCAGGCGGUCUGUCAAGUCGGAUGUGAAAUCCCCGGGCUCAACCUGGGAACUGCAUUCGAAACUGGCAGGCUAGAGUCUUGUAGAGGGGGGUAGAAUUCCAGGUGUAGCGGUGAAAUGCGUAGAGAUCUGGAGGAAUACCGGUGGCGAAGGCGGCCCCCUGGACAAAGACUGACGCUCAGGUGCGAAAGCGUGGGGAGCAAACAGGAUUAGAUACCCUGGUAGUCCACGCCGUAAACGAUGUCGACUUGGAGGUUGUGCCCUUGAGGCGUGGCUUCCGGAGCUAACGCGUUAAGUCGACCGCCUGGGGAGUACGGCCGCAAGGUUA